GCCGAGUGAUUAAUCUUGAUAGUUUGUCUGUAAAACAAACAAAGAGGUGCCUUGUCCCGCAACGAAAAGAUACGAGUGUGUGGACCAAUAUUUGGUGCAGCAUUACUUCGAUGAGAGUGGAAUUACUGCUGUGAGCACGAUUCCUGAUUCGAGUGUGGGGAUAUCUUCUUAAUGUUUUUGGUAUUUUAUGGAGAGAGUAUAUUCUGCGUGGUUCAUUGCAUGAGCUUCGAGGGUUUAUUAUUUCUUUUCCCCCUGGUACAGCGCAACUGUUUUCGCUUAAUAUAGCUUAGAUACAAAAAAGAUGUGCUGGCAAUGGCACGGGAGUAUUAUAAGGAGAGUAGGGACAUUGACGGAACUUUAAGGCGAAUGCCCCGUCAUCCGGUUUCUGAAAGGGCUGUACGACAGUCCUUGAAGAAGUUUCUUGGGAACUACUUGCAGGCAUUAAAAGCUAUGCCUAGGACUUUGAGAAUGAUGCAAGUGCUAAGCAGUUAGAGAAACAUAUGUUGCUCCGUGUGAGCUCUAGUUUAGCAGCUGCUCACAAAGUCAAAGGAUUUGCUCUACUUGGACGCCUUCAUUUUGCACUGAACUCGUGCUUUCGAUCUUCAUCUUUACUUGAGCCCAAAUUAUUGAGCUUAUAUGACAAUCUUCAUUGUUAGAUGCUCAAAGCAUCUUUUCCAAUGUUUUUCAUCGUCAAACAAUGUUUUCAUGUUACUUCACCUUGGUUUUCAUGGUUCUCCCUAACGAUCAUUACAAUUAUGAUCAUUGGAUUUUCUGAUGUCCUCUCAAAACAUGUAAAUAGACUCCUUCAAGAAAGCAACAUCGUAUGGUUGGGUAUGAGGGACCCGAUAUUUCUAGCUGGGGUUUCUUAUUUUAGGUGUUCACUUCAGUUGCUAGCAGGUCUUGCUCCUCAGGUAUGUACAUAGUUACCAAAGCUAUUUGUGGAACCAUGCAGUGAGUGCAAGGGUGCAGAAGUAUGGUAUGCUAAGUACGGCAUCAAAAAGACACGUUGAGGUUUUCUUUUUGGUAUCCUUUGGUUCAGAACAUUAACUUUUGCUCUGUUUUUCACCACGUGGCGGGAGCAGAACAAGUUGUGGUGGGGGACAUAGUACAUCAUCAAGAACAUGAUGAUGAGAAUGUGGCAGAAGAAGUUGUUUCGGCUUAAUUGACAACAAGGAGAUCCUGUUUGUCAUCGCUGAGUGUCAUCUUUGUGGAUAUGGUCGAUUCACUGAGACUCAAUCAUGUGGUUGUUCUACACUGCCUUUUGCCAAGAGCUUCGAAUUGUUAUUUCGAUUGUUGUCUGUUGUUAGAACUCAGAUUUUGUCUCUACUAUUGUCUAGCUGAGUACUCCAAAUUGUAAAGCUAUUCUGUUUACCCUGUACUUCAUUCCACUUGCUCACAACCUGCUCGACAGAAUGCCUGACUGAAUCGUAGAUAGUUAGUUCCUGUUGCAUUCUGUUUAAAAACGUUUUGAUGUCCAAUUGAAGUUGUGUUGGUUGUGUCUUA
Molecule: long non-coding RNA, 1503 nt
Organism: Syzygium oleosum
Lineage: Eukaryota; Viridiplantae; Streptophyta; Magnoliopsida; Myrtales; Myrtaceae
Exons: 2
Source: RefSeq, a predicted model, not a curated record